GGGCAAGUGGGGGGGGUGCUAUACAUGCAGUCGAGCGGAAUUUUAUUGGUGCUUGCACCUUUAAAAUUUUAGCGGCGGACGGGUGAGUAACACGUGGGUAACCUACCUUAUAGAUUGGGAUAACUCCGGGAAACCGGGGCUAAUACCGAAUAAUACUUUUUAACACAUGUUUUGAAGUUGAAAGACGGUCUUGCUGUCACUAUAAAAUGGACCCCCGGCGCAUUAUCUAGUUGGUGAGGUAACGGCUCACCCAGGGAACGAUGCGUAACCCACCUGAGAGGGUGAUCGGCCACACUGGGACUGAGACACGGCCCAAACUCCUACGGGAGGCAGCAGUAAGGAAUCUUCCCCAAUGGACAAAAGUCUGAUGGAACAACGCCCCGUGAGUGAAAAAAGAUUUCCGUUCCUAAAACUCUGUUGCAAGGGAAAAAAAAGUAACGUAAUAACUGGCGCUACCUUGACGGUACCUUGUUAGAAAGCCACGGCUAAAUACGUGCCAGCAGCCGCGGUAAUACGUAAGUGGGAAGCGUUGUCCGGAAAUAUUGGGCGUAAAGCGCGCGCACGUGGUUCCUUAAAUCUGAAGUGAAAACCCCCGGGCUCAACCCGGGGAGGGGCAUUGGAAACUGGGGGAACUUGAGUGCAGAAGAGGAUAGUGGGAAUUCCCAGUGUAACGGUGAAAUGCGUAGAGAUUUGGGAAGGAACACCAGUGUGCGAAAGCGACUGUCUGGGCUGUAACUGGACACUGGGGGCGCGGAAAGCGUGGGGAGCAAACACGGAUUAGAUACCCCUGGGUAAUCCACGCCCGUAAACGAUGAGAUGCUAAAUGGUGUGGGGGGGUUUCCCCGCCCCUCCAGUGGCUGGCAACCUAACAGCAUAUACAACUCCGCCCUCGGAGUAUCAGUCGCGAGACAUGAAACUCAAAGAAAUGGACGGGGGCGCCGCACAAACGUGGGAGCAAUGUGGUCUUAAUCGAGCAGACCGGAAGAACCUUACCCGGCUGAGAUCCGGGGACACUAUGGAUACAUAUGUGCCCUUCGAGGCAACGGGUGACAGAGGCCAUGGGUGUCUCACGUCGGUCAUGUAAGUAAGCUAUCCGCGACAGGCGAGCAUAUCUACUUGCCACGAU
RNAcentral lists this ribosomal RNA (1126 nucleotides) under Bacillus sp. (in: firmicutes). RNAcentral's name for it is "bacterial SSU rRNA". It matches the Rfam family "Bacterial small subunit ribosomal RNA", at positions 26 to 1124 of the family's 1533-position model. The record is from RNAcentral. Lineage: Bacteria; Bacillati; Bacillota; Bacilli; Caryophanales; Bacillaceae.